AGAAGACCCCAUGGAGCUUCAAACCCAACUACACCCCUAGCUCUUAUAGCCCCACAACCCCCCUAGGCGCCGUGUGCUUGGUUUUAGGUUGGGGCGACCGCGGAGUACAAUAAAACCUCCACAAUGAAUGGGAACACCCCCUUAUCUGAGGGCCACACCCCCUAAGAAUUAGAACACUAACAUAAAAUGAUCCAUUACUUGAUCAAUGAACCAAGUUACCCUGGGGAUAACAGCGCAAUCCAUUUCAAGAGCCCCUAUCGACAAAUGGGUUUACGACCUCGAUGUUGGAUCAGGGUACCCCAGUGGUGCAGCAGCUACUAACGGUUCGUUUGUUCAACGAUUAAAACCCU
This 350-nucleotide ribosomal RNA is filed under the name Mantidactylus melanopleura. Its description in RNAcentral is "partial 16S ribosomal RNA". It matches the Rfam family "Bacterial large subunit ribosomal RNA", at positions 2085 to 2597 of the family's 2925-position model. Lineage: Eukaryota; Metazoa; Chordata; Amphibia; Anura; Mantellidae. The record is from RNAcentral.